CCUGAAAUAAGCAUCGGGUUUAGUGACUUCAUUAA
RNAcentral lists this small RNA (35 nucleotides) under Bombyx mori (domestic silkworm). Its description in RNAcentral is "ovarian small RNA-14007". Lineage: Eukaryota; Metazoa; Arthropoda; Insecta; Lepidoptera; Bombycidae. The record is from RNAcentral.